This 498-nucleotide non-coding RNA is filed under the name Candidatus Paraburkholderia kirkii UZHbot1. RNAcentral's name for it is "Candidatus Burkholderia kirkii UZHbot1 Bacterial large subunit ribosomal RNA". It matches the Rfam family "Bacterial large subunit ribosomal RNA", at positions 1 to 542 of the family's 2925-position model. The record is from Rfam by way of RNAcentral. Lineage: Bacteria; Pseudomonadati; Pseudomonadota; Betaproteobacteria; Burkholderiales; Burkholderiaceae.
GGUCAAGCGAACAAGUGCAUGUGGUGGAUGCCUUGGCGAUCACAGGCGAUGAAGGACGCGGUAGCCUGCGAAAAGUUGUGGGGAGCUGGCAACGAGCUUUGAUCCACAAAUGUCCGAAUGGGGAAACCCGGCCCGUAUGGGUCACCCACAACUGAAUCCAUAGGUUGUGUGGGGCGAACGCGGUGAACUGAAACAUCUAAUUAACCGCAGGAAAAGAAAUCAACCGAGAUUCCCAAAGUAGUGGCGAGCGAAAUGGGAUCAGCCGGUACUCUUUAUUUAUCUUAUUAGCUGAACGCUCUGGAAAGUGCGGCCCGAGCAGGUGAUAGCCCUGUAAGCGAAAAUAGGAGGAAAGAACUAGGGGUACGAGAAGUAGGGCGGGACACGUGAAAUCCUGUCUGAAGAUGGGGGGGCCAUCCUCCAAGGCUAAAUACUCGUGAUCGACCGAUAGUGAACCAGUACCGUGAGGGAAAGGCGAAAAGAACCCCGGAGGGAAGUGAA